AUACAAUCAUCACAUCACUCUUGAAUUUUUCAUUAUCUGGAAAAGAUGUCACGUGUCCUGUUUUCUGUAGCAUUGGUCGUCUUAGUGUCUCAGGUGCUUGGAAAAAGUGCACUGGAUUCAAGCAUAGAGAAGCGAGAUGGUGGAAUGGCUUGUGGUUUAUGUGCGAGUAAAUGCCCAGGAGGAUAUACAAAACCUGUGGAUGAAAUGGGGUGUCUGAAGUGUGAUGUUUGUAUAAAAGAUG
This is a long non-coding RNA of Mytilus trossulus (common blue mussel), 241 nucleotides long. RefSeq lists it as uncharacterized. The transcript is spliced from 4 exons. The record is from RefSeq and is a predicted model, not a curated record. NCBI's taxonomy places the organism in Eukaryota, Metazoa, Mollusca, Bivalvia, Mytilida, Mytilidae.